UCUAGCAGUUGCCAGUCAUGGGAAAUCAACUGUUACUCUUAAGUCACUUCUGAUCAGCAAGAAUUAUCUUCUGGCAAUGAUAUUUUCAUUGCUUGAAUACUUUGUUGAAAUUUCUUCAUUUCCUGCAAUGAAGGAAUAUUGGUGGGUGAGUAACUUAGGCCUUGCCCUUGUCGUAAGUGGAGAACUCAUUCGGAAAAUGGCAAUUAUUACGGCUGGGCGUGCCUUCACACAUCUUAUCAAGAUUUGUAAGGAGGAGCAUCACAAGCUGAUUACUCAUGGAGUCUAUGGAUUUGUUCGUCAUCCGGGAUAUGCUGGUUUCUUCAUCUGGUCAGUUGGCACUCAGAUAAUGCUUUGUAAUCCCAUAUCAACGAUUGCAUUUGCUAUUGUUGUCUGGCGCUUCUUUGCAAACCGGAUACCAUAUGAAGAGUUUUUCUUGGGGCAGUUUUUUGGGUCGCAGUACGAGGAAUAUGCGUGGCGAACUCCUUCUGGGGUUCCAUUUGUGAAAUGGAGACCAAAAAGAGCUUGAGGCACACCUGCAUCCAUUUUUGGCCAUAGCUAAUUUAAAAUGCAUCUAAUCAAGGAAGCCAUAGGAAAACUGCAGUGUUGUUAUCUUGAGAUGAUCUGGAACUCAUUUAGAACCGAACUGAUUAUCUCUGUAUGAUAUGGCUUUGUCCUUGCUGCGAGCAACUAUCAAAUGGUAUCCCUUGGAAUGGAAGGUCUGCUGUGGGUUGUUUUGUGUAUUAA
Molecule: unclassified non-coding RNA, 744 nt
Filed under: Hevea brasiliensis (rubber tree)
Lineage: Eukaryota; Viridiplantae; Streptophyta; Magnoliopsida; Malpighiales; Euphorbiaceae
Source: RNAcentral